CCCUGCAUAUUUGAAUCAACCCUAUUGAUCAACCUUUGAUCCUUGAUCUUCCCUUUCCUCUUUUUUUUUAUUUUUCUUUCUUGAUCUUGGAGCAAUCAAGAAGUACAAAUCAGAUUUGUGAAGAGGGGAUGCCCAACUUUCUUGGGCAGUUGAGAUGGUGGGAUGCCCAAUUAAUUUGGAUGGGAGAACUAAAGGCUGCGUGAAGA
Molecule: long non-coding RNA, 206 nt
Filed under: Elaeis guineensis (African oil palm)
Lineage: Eukaryota; Viridiplantae; Streptophyta; Magnoliopsida; Arecales; Arecaceae
Description: long non-coding RNA (EGUI_LNC055200)
Source: RNAcentral